This 234-nucleotide ribosomal RNA is filed under the name uncultured bacterium. Its description in RNAcentral is "partial 16S ribosomal RNA". It matches the Rfam family "Bacterial small subunit ribosomal RNA", at positions 102 to 334 of the family's 1533-position model. The record is from RNAcentral.
CCACGGGUGAGUAACGCGUAUCCAACCUGCCGUCUACUCUUGGACAGCCUUCUGAAAGGAAGAUUAAUACAAGAUGGCAUCAUGAGUCCGCAUGUUCACAUGAUUAAAGGUAUUCCGGUAGACGAUGGGGAUGCGUUCCAUUAGAUAGUAGGCGGGGUAACGGCCCACCUAGUCUUCGAUGGAUAGGGGUUCUGAGAGGAAGGUCCCCCACAUUGGAACUGAGACACGGUCCAA